GUGCUGCUUGGUCUCUCUGGCUGGACCCAGGUUGCUGUCACAACUGAACUGUAACACAUUUUUCCACAACCAUUCUUGAGGCCCCGGUGAGAUUUAGACGACGCUGGUCUCUUUAGCCCCCUGGCCAGUGGAGCAACCGCUUGGAGGUCAGGAGCUCCAAAGCGAACGAGGAGGUACGGCACCCGACAACAUUCCGGGUCCUUCUUUGCAGAGGUGAUUCGGUUCUCUGGGCGGCUGUGCCCCAACCGGACUCAGUGGAGGGACGGACCAACUAACCAAGCAACACGUCGGAACAAGAUCAUUAAAACUGGGAAGAAAGUGGAAAUUUAAACCUAGAAUUGGCAAAACCACUACAAACUGAAGCCCAAGGCAAGGACCAAAAGCAGAUCUGAAAUUUAAGCUAAACUACUGGUUAGAAUGAAAUUGUAGAAUUUUUAAGCUGGAACACCGCUCCCCUGGCCCACCAGCACCCUCAGGGUGACCUGCAGUUCCCUGAACUCGCUGGGUGGAAGCGGCAUUUCGUGGCACUGCUGGUCAGAGCAUUGCCUUCUCUGGAGACCAUCUAAUUCCUCUGAGGCUGAAAGAGGGUUCACAGUGAGUUGCUUCACCUGAGCCAAAGAAGUUGCUGAAGAUCAAAAAAGGGCAAAAGCCACUUCUUGGAUUCCACCAGGAAAUCCAGGCAGAACACGUAGAAACACUUAAACAUAGGAAGGCCAUAUAAACCCCAGAUGAGAGAAAACAAAGAAACAAGGCCCCUAGGAAAGUCCUGACCCUUGGCCAGAUGUAACAGGAAUGUCGCUUGUGACCUCUGUGCCCUUUGGGAUCUGUGAGUUCCGAAGAAGCAGAACUGAGAUUGUUAAAAUUAGGUAUGAAGUGCUGGCACUAGGCACCAAGGUCAAAAGGCACCAAAGAGAACACCCUACCUGAUGGAGGCUGACCAUGAAUUCAUUUCAAUUAAACCGACCCACCAGGCAAUCCACCGUGUGCCGGGGACUGAACUCAGCCGUGGGCUCUGAAGGCCCAUGAUACCUGAGUGUUGCAGACCCUGCAAAGACGGUAACUCUAUAUGAUGCUCAUCCUCUGCCUUCCAAGCCUGCUUCCACCUGGUGGCCCUCACCGAGUUCCCGGCACCGCUCUCCACCACACUGCCUAGGCCCGAAGUCUGGGCCUCAUCCACGUCACCUCUGUUGAUCUCACGUUCCUCAGCUAGUCAGCGAAAACUGAAGACUUCACUCCCUCGGUAUUUUUAAAUCCCCCUCCUCCUAAGGACCUCCCUCCUGGUAGACCCUCCUAGGUCCUUCGUGUGAGCAGCCAGCCCUUCGGCGAGCUGGCCUGUGCCUGACUCUCCAGCCUCAGCUCCCUCUGACCCUGCUCCCUGCUUUGCACCCCGUGCCUGGGGCUCUGCAGCGCUGAGCUGUGAGGCUUCACCGGAACUGCAACAGGAAACACAACCAAAAGCCAAAUGACAACCGGGGAACAGUGUCUGUAACAUACAGGAAAGUUCAAUGGUUGUCAUAUGUGUAAUAUACAGACAGCUAUUAGAGAUCAGUAAGAAAAACAUGAGCCAUCUAAAAAGAUAAAGUAUAAAUACACAUCUUUUAAAAGAAAGAAAUAAUAUAUGUACAGAGAAUAACACAAGGGAAAGAGGCUCAACCUCAUGUGUAAUAAAAGAGAUACAAAUUAAAACAA
This is a non-coding RNA of Vicugna pacos (alpaca), 1689 nucleotides long. The record is from RefSeq and is a predicted model, not a curated record. NCBI's taxonomy places the organism in Eukaryota, Metazoa, Chordata, Mammalia, Artiodactyla, Camelidae.